RNAcentral lists this ribosomal RNA (560 nucleotides) under uncultured bacterium. RNAcentral describes it as "partial 16S ribosomal RNA". It matches the Rfam family "Bacterial small subunit ribosomal RNA", at positions 355 to 906 of the family's 1533-position model. The record is from RNAcentral.
UGGGGAAUUUUGGACAAUGGGGGAAACCCUGAUCCAGCCAUCCCGCGUGUGCGAUGAAGGCCUUCGGGUUGUAAAGCACUUUUGGCAGGAAAGAAACGUCGCGGGUUAAUACCCCGCGAAACUGACGGUACCUGCAGAAUAAGCACCGGCUAACUACGUGCCAGCAGCCGCGGUAAUACGUAGGGUGCAAGCGUUAAUCGGAAUUACUGGGCGUAAAGCGUGCGCAGGCGGUUCGGAAAGAAAGAUGUGAAAUCCCAGAGCUUAACUUUGGAACUGCAUUUUUAACUACCGGGCUAGAGUGUGUCAGAGGGAGGUGGAAUUCCGCGUGUAGCAGUGAAAUGCGUAGAUAUGCGGAGGAACACCGAUGGCGAAGGCGGCCUCCUGGGAUAACACUGACGCUCAUGCACGAAAGCGUGGGGAGCAAACAGGAUUAGAUACCCUGGUAGUCCACGCCCUAAAACGAUGUCAACUAGCUGUUGGGGCCUUCGGGCCUUGGUAGCGCAGCUAACGCGUGAAGUUGACCGCCUGGGGAGUACGGUCGCAAGAUUAAAAACUCAAAA